AGUGAACGCUGGCGGUAGGCCUAACACAUGCCAGUCGAACGGCAGCACAGUAAGAGCUUGCUCUUACGGGUGGCGAGUGGCGGACGGGUGAGGAAUACAUCGGAAUCUACUUUUUCGUGGGGGAUAACGUAGGGAAACUUACGCUAAUACCGCAUACGACCUACGGGUGAAAGCAGGGGAUCUUCGGACCUUGCGCGAUUGAAUGAGCCGAUGUCGGAUUAGCUAGUUGGCGGGGUAAAGGCCCACCAAGGCGACGAUCCGUAGCUGGUCUGAGAGGAUGAUCAGCCACACUGGAACGGAGACACGGUCCAGACUCCUACGGGAGGCAGCAGUGGGGAAUAUUGGACAAUGGGCGCAAGCCUGAUCCAGCCAUACCGCGUGGGUGAAGAAGGCCUUCGGGUUGUAAAGCCCUUUUGUUGGGAAAGAAAAGCAGCAGGUUAAUACCCCGCUGUUCUGACGGUACCCAAAGAAUAAGCACCGGCUAACUUCGU
Molecule: ribosomal RNA, 491 nt
Filed under: uncultured bacterium
Lineage: Bacteria
Description: partial 16S ribosomal RNA
Rfam family: Bacterial small subunit ribosomal RNA
Source: RNAcentral